RNAcentral lists this small nuclear RNA (117 nucleotides) under Terrapene triunguis (Three-toed box turtle). Its description in RNAcentral is "Terrapene carolina triunguis (Three-toed box turtle) U5 spliceosomal RNA (ENSTMTG00000012532.1)". It matches the Rfam family "U5 spliceosomal RNA". From Rfam's summary of the family: U5 RNA is a component of both types of known spliceosome. The precise function of this molecule is unknown, though it is known that the 5' loop is required for splice site selection and p220 binding, and that both the 3' stem-loop and the Sm site are important for Sm protein binding and cap methylation. The record is from Rfam by way of RNAcentral. Lineage: Eukaryota; Metazoa; Chordata; Testudines; Emydidae.
AUACUGUGGUUUCUCUUUCAGCUUGUAUAAAUCUUUUGCCUUUUACUAAAGAUUUCCGUGGAGAGGAACAGUUAUGAGUUUCUACCCAAUUUUUUGAGGCUUCACUUUGGUGAGGCU